This 74-nucleotide transfer RNA is filed under the name Candidatus Omnitrophota bacterium. RNAcentral's name for it is "Candidatus Omnitrophica bacterium tRNA-Gly". It matches the Rfam family "tRNA". From Rfam's summary of the family: Transfer RNA (tRNA) molecules are approximately 80 nucleotides in length. Their secondary structure includes four short double-helical elements and three loops (D, anti-codon, and T loops). Further hydrogen bonds mediate the characteristic L-shaped molecular structure. tRNAs have two regions of fundamental functional importance: the anti-codon, which is responsible for specific mRNA codon recognition, and the 3' end, to which the tRNAs corresponding amino acid is attached (by aminoacyl-tRNA synthetases). tRNAs cope with the degeneracy of the genetic code in two manners: having more than one tRNA (with a specific anti-codon) for a particular amino acid; and 'wobble' base-pairing, i.e. permitting non-standard base-pairing at the 3rd anti-codon position. Lineage: Bacteria; Pseudomonadati; Candidatus Omnitrophota. The record is from RNAcentral.
GCGGGUGUGGUUCAAUGGUAGAACUCGAGCUUCCCAAGCUCGCAGCGUGGGUUCGAUUCCCAUCACCCGCUCCA